This 127-nucleotide vault RNA is filed under the name Mytilus galloprovincialis (Mediterranean mussel). It matches the Rfam family "Vault RNA". Rfam says of the family: This family of RNAs are found as part of the enigmatic vault ribonucleoprotein complex. Lineage: Eukaryota; Metazoa; Mollusca; Bivalvia; Mytilida; Mytilidae. The record is from Rfam by way of RNAcentral.
UGGCUGGCGUAGUCUAGUGGUUACUUCGUUAAUAAAUAAGAGGGUGUAGGAUAGGUGGGAGCUACCGCGAUCUUGAAAUACCACCACCACUUAGUAUAUUGUACCACUGACGCUGUCCAACCCUUUU